Molecule: long non-coding RNA, 24991 nt
Filed under: Fragaria vesca (wild strawberry)
Lineage: Eukaryota; Viridiplantae; Streptophyta; Magnoliopsida; Rosales; Rosaceae
Description: long non-coding RNA (FVES_LNC002639)
Source: RNAcentral
AAAUAGAUGAGCAUGACCAAAAAAAACCCAAAAUCCCAAAACCCUGUAUGGUUCAUUGGUUCUUCUACCAUGGGUUUUAAUCUCCAAUUUAUUUAUGAAACCCAUUGCUUCCUAGUGAGCCCAACCGCUGUCCUCUCACCAGAAUCAUCGUCUUAAAUGAAAAGUUAAAAAAAAAAAAAAAAACUAAGAUUNNNNNNNNNNNNNNNNNNNNNNNNNNNNNNNNNNNNNNNNNNNNNNNNNNNNNNNNNNNNNNNNNNNNNNNNNNNNNNNNNNNNNNNNNNNNNNNNNNNNNNNNNNNNNNNNNNNNNNNNNNNNNNNNNNNNNNNNNNNNNNNNNNNNNNNNNNNNNNNNNNNNNNNNNNNNNNNNNNNNNNNNNNNNNNNNNNNNNNNNNNNNNNNNNNNNNNNNNNNNNNNNNNNNNNNNNNNNNNNNNNNNNNNNNNNNNNNNNNNNNNNNNNNNNNNNNNNNNNNNNNNNNNNNNNNNNNNNNNNNNNNNNNNNNNNNNNNNNNNNNNNNNNNNNNNNNNNNNNNNNNNNNNNNNNNNNNNNNNNNNNNNNNNNNNNNNNNNNNNNNNNNNNNNNNNNNNNNNNNNNNNNNNNNNNNNNNNNNNNNNNNNNNNNNNNNNNNNNNNNNNNNNNNNNNNNNNNNNNNNNNNNNNNNNNNNNNNNNNNNNNNNNNNNNNNNNNNNNNNNNNNNNNNNNNNNNNNNNNNNNNNNNNNNNNNNNNNNNNNNNNNNNNNNNNNNNNNNNNNNNNNNNNNNNNNNNNNNNNNNNNNNNNNNNNNNNNNNNNNNNNNNNNNNNNNNNNNNNNNNNNNNNNNNNNNNNNNNNNNNNNNNNNNNNNNNNNNNNNNNNNNNNNNNNNNNNNNNNNNNNNNNNNNNNNNNNNNNNNNNNNNNNNNNNNNNNNNNNNNNNNNNNNNNNNNNNNNNNNNNNNNNNNNNNNNNNNNNNNNNNNNNNNNNNNNNNNNNNNNNNNNNNNNNNNNNNNNNNNNNNNNNNNNNNNNNNNNNNNNNNNNNNNNNNNNNNNNNNNNNNNNNNNNNNNNNNNNNNNNNNNNNNNNNNNNNNNNNNNNNNNNNNNNNNNNNNNNNNNNNNNNNNNNNNNNNNNNNNNACACAUCUUCGUUCCCAUCACAACCCCCAACCUUAGUGAUUUUAGUGGGAUUGAAUGCAAUUUGUUAUUUUUUUAUUUUUUAUUUUUUCUUGAUAUCAAGUCAUCACUUGACAAAGGAAUUGGAUGAAGAUUAGAGGUUUGGACAUGCGCAGUUGAUGAAAAUUGGGAGUUGAGGGGUGUUUUUGAUGAAAUUGAAAGAAGAAUGACUAACAUGAUAAUCGACCUAAGUUGAUAGAGGUAAACUGAAAUUAGUUCUUAAGAAAAUUAGCUAGAUAUAGUACAAAUUGAAAACAUACUUAAAACAAUACUAAACAUCGAUCAUACAAAAAGUAGUUAAAGAAAGGGAAGAACAAAGAGCAACAAAGUGUCUCUAAUUCUCCACUCUCUUCCUCCUCUUUAUUCACUUGAAGCAACAUUUAUUUAUAGGACAACAAUGAUCUUCAUUCCAUCUUCAUCUCCAUGUGAAUGUGAUUUUUCCUUCCGUCCAAAAUCUCAUGCUAGCUUGAUGGAACAUGUUCACUCAUAAAUGAUUUUACACACCACUUUCUUUUCAUCAAUUCCUUUUGUCUUCAACAUCUUUUACUAAUUUCACUUCUUAAGUGUGAAGAGAAACAAGUACGUACAAGAUCUUUGAAGUUUUGAAAGGUGAGCUCCUAGAUUCAUGCAAGCUUGUUCCAUGCAAUCUUGUCUUUGGCAAUUCUUCAUAUAAUUCCCCAUUUGUUUCCAUCAAUUCAUGCACAUUCCUAUAUGAAUCAAGCAACCAAAGUAAAUUCAACAUUUGAUGGCUAAGGUUACAUUUUCCACACAUCACACUUAAUGCAAUGAGAAAGCAAUCCACCAAUGUAUGAUAUGCAUGCUACUAGAACAAGAAGAACAUGUGUUGCAACUAUUCAUCUAAAUUAAGGGAAAAAGACUCAUGUUAAAAAUAAGGACUCAAUUUACUAUUUGAAAAUAGAUAAAUUGCUUCUAUAUAUUUAACAUUUUAUUUAUUUAUGACAACAUCUAUAAGAAUACAAAAACAAACUAAAUAACUCAAACUACUAAAGACAAAUAACUAACACAUAAAUUAGGGAUAAAAAUAUGGUAUAAAAUGUGCCCAUCACUUGUCAAUCGCUUCCUUAACCACAUCAAACAGCAACCCGAAUGCUGCUCUGAGAGCUGCCCCGCUUAGAAACUCCCCUACCAUUACCAGUUUGUUGGCUGCAUGAGAAAAAGAGAAAAGAAGAGUGAAAAACAUACAGGCGCGCGGAGACUACUGAACUUGAAAUGGAGCCAAUAAUUCAAGUGUUAAUUUGGAACAUAGGCCUAUUUCUUAUAAAUUAAAGAAGCAAGAUCAAUUACAGAAACUUAGCUGCUCCAAAGGGUUUGCUUGGGGGAAGUCUCUAUAGAAGAAGAAGAAGAAGAAGAAGAAGAAGAAGAAGAAGAAGAAGAAGAAGAAGAAACUUCUCGAAAGAUACCUUUAGUUAUUUUUCUCACUUUUAUUUCUAUCUCUGAUUUGUUGUGAAUUUGUGAUUAGUCCAAGUCCACGCACUGAUUGAUGAUCAACGUACAUAAAAAAAGGAUAGGAUGGCCGGAGAAAUUUAAAACUAGUGCGUGACAGUUUCCGGGAAGCUUUCAUAGUUUCAUGCACGGUAACAUUUAUUAAGUAACAAAACACCUAUGAUCCUAGAUUCAAAAAAAAAAAAAAACAACCUAUGAUCCUUAACUUCAAAGGUCCUUUAAGUUUGUGAGACUUUUUAAUCGAUCCAACUAUAUAUUAUGCAUCUUAAGAAGAUCAACAAGGAAAGACUAGCUGUAGCUUGGAUAUAUAAAUGGGUACAUAGCCAGCUAAUUCAUGUUACAAGUCUCACAAUAAGCUUGGUGAGUAACAAACAAGCUUGGUGAGAACGUUAACCAAUAAAUUCUGUUACAAAUUAUGUUACUUCUUCAAAAAAAUUACCGACAAUUAUUCACAUAUAUAAACGCCAGUCUUUUGGUCUAAUGUUUCAUAAAAGCUUAUUGUUGAUAUCCAUCGGCAUAAGUUAACGAUGAAAUUUAGUGUUAGCAAUAGGAUGAUUUUAUCGCGCCGUCACCUUCUCUUUUUAUCGCGUAGUGGCAUGCACCGUUAACAAAAGGCAGGUGGGGUGAAGAAAGAGAAACUUUGUUGCUCAACGAUACUUCCGGGAUUUCGAAACCAAAACAAUGAGACUACGUCGUUUCACGUAUGACCACACAUGCUUUUAUAUAUACUUCCCUCCUCAUUUUCGAAACCAAAAGCUAGGAGCUAACUCAAAUUAAUGUUGUUAGCAUUGAUCGAAGCCAUCCCUAAGUAUAAGGGGCAUAAUAGAAUAGUGGGGUUUAGAAUAAAAGUUGUCGAACCCAAGGGAUUAAGAAAUCCCACUUUAGCUAGUGGAGUCUUAAGGUAAGUUAGAUGGAUGUACAAAUAUACAAAUUACUAACAACGACUUAAAGGAGAGCUAACGUCCAUGGUGGGUAUGUAUAAUAUGAAGUGUUGAGAUUAAAUUGUAAUCACUAAAGUAAGAAAUGUAAAAUAAGCUAGACCAAAUGAUUUGUUGUCAAAUGGAUGGGGGUUGGGGCAUCAGGUUUCACCUUUUGCCUCCCUUACAAGCAUUAAAGCAAUCAAAUAAGAACGAUGCGAAACUACUUGUCCAACUACCCUCUUAGCAUUCAGAUCAGACUACUAGGGCUUAAACCCCUCUGAUUUUAUCAACUCUAAACGGAAAAGUCUAGAGUUAACUACAAAGUGACAAAUUCAAUUACCAGAUAGGCCUCAAUCCUUUGUCUCUAAGUGCAUAAAGCUUAGAUUUAGGUAGCCAAUCAAGCAAACAAGCCAAUCAUAUCUCUAAGUGGUUUUAGCUCACCACUCUCACAUGUACACAUGGGAUGCUCUCAUUGCCUAAAGGUAAUCAAUCUCUAGCAAACAUCAAGUUAUGACAAACACAUCAACUCAAAUUAAUUAAGUCCAAGCAAACACAUUCAACUAUUGGCCUAGCAUGUGAAAAUGACAAUAUGGAAUUGCAUCAAUUCAUAGACAAAAGCAUCAAUACAAAGUUUGGUUAGAUAAGCCAUGUUGUACAUACAGUUAGAAUUUUCUGAGAGGUAACUGGGUAAGUCAUACGUACUUCAUAUACAUUCAAACAAAAAUGUUCAAAUGAUCAUAUCCUAAACAAAAGUACUUUCAAUCACAACCUCUCUAUUUAUUUCAUGAUCACACACUAGAAUGCUUAGCUCUCCAAACUCUUGUCCACAUUAUGAACAAUUUCACUUGUGGACCAUUUAGUUUUAGUUUUCCUUCGAUAUGUUCACCAGAUCAAGAUGAUCACCUGUUCAUACCAGGUUUUUUUUUCAUGUUAUUUAAUAACAUUAUUAAUCUUGAUGUUGUGAUCGAUUAUGUGGCGCAAUAUUUAUAGAUUUGAUCUGUUUUGUUUAGCUAGCUCGGCCUCACAGUCCAUUUUCCUUAUUUUGGAAUCGGAGAGCGUAAUUUUUGUUUUGAAAAGUGAUUUGAGGAUUUUUUAGAGAUUUCACCUCUGUGUCUCAGUAGAUUUCACCUCAGUAGGAUAUCAGGACAGUAAAUAGAGUUGGUAAGUUUAUUUGAAAGUUGAAUAUGAUCUUUGUAAUUAUGCGGAAAUCGAAACAUAUGUGAAACUUUUUACUAGAUCUGUAUGAAUAGAAGUUGUGUGGAAUUGUUCGAUUUAUCUAUUCAUCAAUCACAUAUGUAAUUUCCACAUGUACGUGCUUGAUAUCUAGCUGAUGCGAACCCUCAAGACAAGAGCUGGUAAAUUUAUUUGAAAGUUGAAUAUGUUGGACAAUCUAAUAGAUCUCUGAAACUGUUAGAACUUUCAAUAUGAUGUAGUAUUUGGUUUGGAGCUCAUUGAUUACAAAUUUGGUUACAGAUGGCUACAUCUAGAUUGGAGAAAUUAACAGUCCAGUCGUAGAAGUGGUUAUCAAUCAAUAUUUAGCACCAAAUGAUAAUAGAGGACUCAAUUUUUCUUCGGGUAUUCGUUCAGUAUUUAUAUGAAGGUUUUCUUUUGGUUUUGUCUAUGUUUCUUUUGGUUACAGCUGCCCUCCUUCUUCUUGUCACACUUCACAGAACAUGAAAUACUCAGCCGCUAGAUCAUAAUAACUUGCUUAGUUUAUUGAAGUUUUUCUUCUUCUCACUUUUGAUAAUUUGUUUAAUAUCUUUUCCUAUAAUCUAUUAUCAUUUCGAAGGUCGGGAGGAUAUGCAAUCGUAGUCCGUUGCACAAAUAUUUUUGAUGGAUAUAAUUAUGUCAUUAGGAAGACUUUAAUUGGUGAAGAAUACCCUGACUAUUAUAUUUAAUUUCAUAAAGUCUACACGUAGAGGAUGCCAUUUGAUAAGUAAGUUCUAACUUAGUUUUUGGUGCUUCUUAUGAGAUAAAUGAUCGGUACUGUAGUUUAUAAACAAGUUUGCCGAAAAAAAGAAACCUGAACAUGAGAUUUAUUAAUAUUCCUAAAUAUAAGGUAAUUUUUUGUGGUCCAAACGCAAUAGCAAGUAAUAAGAAUUUUAGAUAAAAUAUUAUAGUUCAAAAUGUAGUUUGAAAAAGUGAAUAAAUCGUUGAAAAUUAAUCUUUUUAAAAAGUGAUCGUUACUGGCAGCUUGGACGUUGUGUUAUUAAUUUAGAAAAUUAAUCGUAGUUUGAAUUUUUAAGUAUAAUUUUGUAUACGAGAUGGAGAUCGAUUGUACAUAAUACACUGUUACUAUGAAGAUUAAUCUAGCAUCUAACACACCAUAGAAACCUCGCUUUUGUUGAGAAUCACCUGGUAAUAUUAUGAUGUGAAAGACAUGAAAUUGAUGGCUACAGUGCAUGGCUUUAGUUCUUCGGCAAUGUGUGACCCUAUAAAUUUGAUUUGUGAGAAAUUUGUUAACGAAAUUGUAUACAAAUCCGUGAACCCUUAAAUGCAUCAUGUUAUAUCUUUAAAAAAAAAGACCAACAAAAAACCAACAAAAUUAGGUUGUUUGUCACAUACAUAAACGUGACUCUUUACUCUUUUGGUUGUUUUCUAAAAGCUUACUGUCGACGAGUAAAUUAAGUGACGAAAUUUUUUCAACGUAAGUGUCGCUAUAGUAUAAAUAACCCAGCAUUCUACCCGUGCAAAUUUACACGUUAUCACAAAUUCACCCAAAAUUAAUGAGCGGUUAAUCCACAUUCUAUCCAUUACCCUAAACCCUGAAUUCUAAACUCUAAAGCCUUGGUAUCAGCAUCCUCUGUCCUCCAUUUGUUGUAUGAGAUACUUCAUCUCCUUCUGGCCUCUCUGAAGGUAUAGAGCACCUGAGAGGAGCACAAAGGAUGCUGAUACCAAGGCUGAUAUCUACAACGCAGGGAUUCUUUUGUUCGAAAUGCUUCAGCCUUUUACAAGCAAUUCAGACAGAGCCAGAGUUCUUCAUAACUUGAGGGAGAAAAAAACCUUUCCCAACAAAGCCUGGAACGAUAACCCUGUGAAGAAAUGGGUGCUGCGAAUGAUUGAUGACACACCUUCAGAGAGGCCCUCAGCAGCCUAUCUUCUGCACAACUAUGGUGAGAUUAAAGAUGACAUUCUAUUGUCCGAUGCAAUGUCCAGCAUAUAGAAGUUCUGUCCAUGACAGUCUUCUUUCUCACAAGACUAUUUGAUGUGAAAAGGAGAAUAACAAUGUUAGACAAUAGUAUUUCGGUCAGUACUUCAGAUUUAACUCCUCAGCUUUUGCGCAUUAUGCUUGGAUGCUUGCCAGAACAAGUAUAAAAUGCUUUUGAACAUGUAGAUCUAACUGAUGAGGCAACAUGCUUUUGAAUUAGACAACCUCAUUAUUGUCUCUUCUGGAUCUUAUGGUGUCUAUAUAAUAUUUUUUUUUUCUGUGUGAAAUCAGUAAAAAUGUGAAGGGAAGUGAAUGUUAAAACAAGAAGAUAGGAGGUGUUUACACCCAAAUUAAUAUUUUACUGGACAGUAAUUGUCUAUGUGAAUAUUAGUUAAAUUCAUGAUUCACGUCACACCGACGAGCCCAAAAUAAUUGAGUUUAUAAAUGAUGACCCGUUAGCAAACAAAGUCAUGCGAGCUGAAUAUUCGCACGCGAGGUGAUGACUUUGCGCAGGGGGCUUCGAGUAGGAGACUGCGUGAGGAAACAGAGGAGAAGAGUUCGCAUGGGAGAGGACUAAGGUAUUGGCCGCAUAUGUUGACUGAAUGGAUAGUGGAGCAAGUAUCCUUAAUUGCAUAAAAGGCUAUAUGUGUGUGGCUCGCCAGUAGAAGAGUUUGCAUGUAUUAAGGUUGCUAUUCCUUAAUCACAUGAAUGCAAGUGUAUGUGCUCCCUAUGUGUUUUACAGGCGAAGGAAAAUGCUUGCAUGCGAAGAGCCAGGGACUUCGCAUAGAAGUUGAGUCCUACAUGGAUGGAAAGAGAUGUAAUGCAAGUCAACGUUUGCAUGCGAAAUAGAUAGAGGACCUCGCGAAGUAUAAGGUUGCAUGCGAGAAGGAUUGCAUGCGAAGUAUAAGGUUGCAUGCGAGAUGGAUUGCGUGUGAAGAGAGAGGUUGCAUGUGAGACGGAAGGCGCGCGAGGAAGAAGUUUGCAAAAUGAAUUUGGACGGGAGUGCAAUCAAGUUUGGUAUAGACGUGAAGCAUACUAUCACUCCUAGUUCUAUUUGAUUAAAGAGAUAUACACGCAGACUUCUAGUAUUCAAGGGCACUCAUACAGUGCUUAAAGGGAGCAUACGUCCAAGAAGUGUUCUAGGCGAACUCUAUUGUUUAGAACAGAGCGACGACCAUGAGGUGAUUAACAUCGCCUACGCCACAUUUAUUGUUGAAGACUUCUACAAGUUUUUGACAUGCUUUGGGUCAAUACCUGUGGCCCUAAAAAUAACUUAUAUAAAUGAGUUCGAGGACACUUAACAACUCUACAAAAUACAAUACAACCUUCAACACAGUUGAACCUCCAAACGCUCCCCGCAACUUUUCUUUCGUUUCCCUGUACGCUCCCCGAAGCUUUCUCUUUUUUUCUUUCAUUUCCUUCCCAGUUGAAGCUCUGCUCGAUCUUACGUCGAGUAUCGAUAUUGUGACGCUCACGUCGAGUAUCGAUAUUGUGACGCUCAGGCGGACUACUGUAAGUCCUUGCCGAGUACGCAAGGCGAAUCUGAAGAACCCUGCGGUGGAGUUGGUGCUCUCUCCAUCCUCAGUCGCUUGAUUAGAAACAAAAGGCUAAGCGCACCCCGUUACUACGACUACUACAUUCUGCGUCCGUGCGGUGGCACGCCCGCAACGACUAAAAGAGACUUUGCAUACCCAGACUUACUGAUGUGGCCAAAACAGGAGGUGGCAUAGGCGAAGGUACACUAAGGCCAAAGGGUGCCAUGGCACCCCUUUGAUUUUAUUCUAUGCAUGUAUUCUCCUUGAUUGGCAUCCUUUUGAUUUUAUUCUCCUUGAUUACUUAGAUAGAAAUAGAAAUCACUAUUUGAUUAUAUGUAUUGGUUACUACCCUUUUUUUCCUUUCUUUUUCUCUAGAAUAGUAAACAAACGUCUGCCAUGAUUAAUAUAGUAUUUUACGGCUCUAUUAAUACAUUUUAAUUGGUUCAAGCUCUUUUUCUUUUUUUUAGAGAAAUAACAUAAUUUUAUUCAGAAUGAAAGAGACUACAAAACAUGGGAAUUAUCGGUGGAGGAAGAAUUUUCCCCACUCAUUUCCCUACUACCAGAAACAGUUACGGGUCUGUCGCUAUCAAUGACAUCCAUGAGCCAAUCGGGCCCAACCUCUAACCAAACUAACCACCCAUUUAAUCGGGCUACAUACUUAGCCACUACAUCAGCCGCACUAUUCGCAGUCCUAGAGACGUGAGAGAGCUUAGGACUACCAACAACAACCAACAGAGCUCUAACUCGAUCAACCAAUAUCCCCUCUUAAGCAAGACACUCACCAACAUCAUUUACCACUCUCACAGCCUCUAAACAAUCACAUUCAACCUUCUCUAGUAACCAAUUAUGCUCUACUACAUAUUCCAGCCCCUUACAGAUUGCCAACAACUCAGCAACACUUGGCCAAAAACGGCCUUGGACUCUUUCUCCUCCCGCUAGCACCAGAUCCCCCAAAUGGUUUCUCACAACAACUCCCACUCCAAUAUAAACUCCAUUAUUAAUAACAGAAGCAUCAGUAUUUAAGCUUAACAUACCAGGGCUAGGAGGUUGCCAUGCCAUACCAAUUAUAGACCCCCCCACUUCUCCUGUGUGAUUGCAUACUAUUCUGCACCGCCAACAAACUUUCCCACAUCAACACACACUGGUCAUAUAUAAUAGAUGGGGGUCGAGGCCGUUCUCCAUGUAUGACCCUAUUUCUCUCACUCCAAUUGCUCCAAAGCAUUAUAACAAGCAUUUUCAUCUCAUCCACAGUUAAAACUUUGAAAGCAUGAUUCAAAAACUCAGUAAAGUUAGUCGACAUACCCGAAACCAGCUUGGAAUAGAAACUCACCCUCUCUAACACCGCAACACAAAACAAACUAGACCAGGUUACGUGCAAGGGCGUAUCAUCAGUAGCUUGGCACCUCGGACAUAAUGGACUUUGAACAAUAUACCUCUGAUACAACGGCCACAUGCAUGAAAUAAAUCCCAUCGAACACCUCCACAAAAAAUGAUUCAUCUUCGGUGGGACUUUGAGUUUCCAAAGAUGUUUCCAAUACACUGAAGCUAUCGGUGUAGAGCGAUUGCUCUCUUUUUUUACCAGCCAAUAAGCACUCUUAAAUGAAAACUUCCCCUGCUUAUUUUGAUUCCAAAUCAAUUUAUCUCGACACAUUGAUCAUGCAAUAGGGAUACUAAGCACAGCCUCCACUUCCUGUGUUGUAGCUACUUGCUCCAGCCUAUGCAUAUCCCACAAACCAGACACUGAAAUCAGAUAAUUCACUCUCAUAUUCCAAUCACAGCCAUUCUUCCAUGCAAUUUUAAAGUCAGGUAUUCCAGGUACCCAAGGGUCUUAAAAAACUUGGAUGUCGGCCCCAUUGCUUACCCUCCACCGAAGACCUUUAGUUAGAAGUUGUUUACCCCACAUCACAGCCCUCCAUAUACUGGAAGGAUUCCUCCCAAUAACAGCCUCCAAAAAAGAACUAUUAGGGUAGUAUUUAGCCUUCAACAUCCGACCAACCAAAGACUCCUCAUCUUGAAUUAGCCUCCAACCAAUUUUUCCAACCAAAGCUUGAUUAAAACACUAUAACUCCCUAAAACCCAAUCCACCUUCUCCCUUCGGCACACAAAGUGCAUCCCACCUCCUCCAAUGUAUACCUUUUCCACUAGAAUUUCCCCAUCAGUAUCUUACUAGAUGCCUGUUAAUUUCCUUACAAAUCCCUACCGGUAGCUAGAAAACACUCAUAGUGUAAGUAGGUAUUGACUGAGCCACAACUUUGAUCAACACCUCCUUACCACCCUUGGAAAGCAGUUUACCUUCCCAACCUUGUAUUUUCUGCCACACCCGAUCAACCACACCCUUGAAGACCUUCUUUUUAUUUCUCCCAGUCACUAUAGGCAAUCCCAAAUAACGUUCAUGGCAUGGAACAAUUUUCAUAUCCAACGCUGUACUACAAGCUUCCUUCACUACCCUCGUCGUUUGUGGAUUGAAACUAACAGCAGAUUUUUCCACACUGAUUUUCUGCCCCGAUGCCCUCUCAUACACAGCAAAAAUCUCCUUUAACUUGAGACAAUCUUGAACUGAAGCAUCACAAAACAACAAGCUAUCAUCAGCAAAGAACAUGUGUGUUACCGAUGGUGCACCCCGGGCAAUUGAAACUCCAUGCAAUAAUUUUUCUCUCUCCGCUUUUUUCAACAAAGCAGAAAAGCCUUCUGCAACUAAAAGAAAGAGAUAUGGGGAAAUAGGAUCUCCCUGGCGGAUUCCUCUAGAUGGAACAAUUCUACCAAAAGGUCUGCCUUGGAUGAGCACAGAGUAGGAAACCGACUGCACACACUCCAUUAGUAGCCGGGUAAACCGCAACGGAAAACCCAUAGCAAGCAUCAUCGCUCUCAAAAACUCCCAUUCGACUCUAUCAUAAGCCUUGGCCAUGUCUAAUUUGAUCGCUGUUUUCUGCCUACUUUUCUUCCCCCUUCUCUUUAAAUUAUACACUGUUUCAAACGCAGCAAUAACAUUGUCAUGAAUUAGUCGCCCUGGCACAAACGCGCUUUGGUAGUCCGCAAUCAAAUCCGGUAAGAUCACCUUCAAUCUGUUAGCCAAUGCCUUCGAAAUCAACUUAUAGAUGACAUUACACAAACUAAUAGGUCGAAACUCAGUCACCUUUUUUGGAGCCAGAAUUUUAGGAAUCAAAGCGAUUAAGGUGUGAUUCAGAUCCUUAACCGUGCCAUUCCCAUUGAGAAACUCCAAACACUUAUUAACCACCGCAUCCCCUACCACAGACCAAUACUUUUGAUAGAAAAGAGGCGGCAUACCGUUUGGCCCUAGAGAUUUUGUUGGUCCCAUAUCCUUUAACGCAGCUUCAAUUUCUCCUCUAGAAAAAGGUCUGUUAAGUGACACUCCUUGCUCCACCGUAACUCUACCAGCAACCUCCCCAAAAAUCCCAUGACUCAUAUCAGACCCUCCUGUAGAAAAAAGUUGUCUGAAAUAGUCCACGAAGACACAUCCAACAUUAACAUAACCAGUUCUCCAUCUGUUGUCCUCCCCCAAGACACCAGCAAUCUUAUUCAUAGCUCCCCUUUGCUUCGCAAAACUGUGGAAAAAUUUUGUGUUUCUAUCGCCACACUUUAACCAAUUCACCCGAGAGCGUUGACACCACAUAACUUCUUCCCGCUCAAGCACCUUGUCCAGCUCUCUUUCAGCAUCUUCUCUUUGUUGUAGCACCUCAGCUGAAGGAUACCUGCGUUGCAGCAUAUCUAGACCUUUCUAAGAUCUCUAAUUUUCCUCCGGACAUGACCAAACUUCUCUCGCUCCCACUCCUUUAACCUCGCUGCAACCAGCUUCAUUCGAUCCUCAAUCCCAAGAGGCCACCCCCGUUCCCAGCACUCCCCAAUAAUCUGCCCACAUUCCUCUUCCCGAAUCCACAUCUCCUCAAACAUAAACCUCCGGGGCAUACUUCUCAAAUCACUAUUGGUUCAAGCUCUUAUAAUGUAAAUAAUUAAGAAUAAGAUUGUAUAAUAAGGAUGAUUUUCACAUUGAUUCUACAUAUGUACAUUAGUUGUUAAGAAAUAAAUAAAUCAUUGAUAAGAUAUAUACCGGUACUAGUUACCAUGAUAUUAAUUUUAGAUUGUUGUAAAACAAAAGGAAUAGAUUGAGAAAGGAGAGAACAACCAAGAGAAUGAGAGAAUAUGUGUAUAUUAUUGAGUGGGGAACCAUCUCUUAUAUAGAGAUGAGGUCAUGAUGUAAAUUACAAUAACAACCCUAGUUGGCUAAUUACAAGAAUGUUCACUAAAUAAUAACUAUUUACAACACUCCCCUUUGGGUAUUCUCUGUCAUUAGCUUCCCCUAAUAUGUGCUUCGGUGUUGCCUCGUCAAAACCUUGCCAGGUAAUAAAAACCCUAUGGGACAAAAACAAUCCUGGUCGAAGGAGAAAAGAGUACAACGCACAAGUAGCAGUGAUAGUUAUAACCCUUGAUUUCGGUGAAGCGGUUUAGUCUUGAUCAUAAGAUGUGAGUCUAUGGGAGAUAGAUGCAUAAUAGUUGCUACACCAAAACCUUGCCCGGUAAACCCAGUGGGACAAACCCGUGGUCGAAGGGAAAAGAUGAGCAAAUGCAUAUAUUUCAAAUAAAGGCAUCUUCAAUAUGCACCAUGAGGAAGGUGACCAAUUACAUGUGUGCCUCAUUAAAACCUUGCCAGGUAACAAAACCCAGUGGGACAAAAUAACCCUGGACGAAUGACAAAAAGAGUACACAAUGGUCAAGAGUAUACUUCAGGAUACUCCCCCUAAUAUUGACUCCCCCUGAAAACUACACACUAGGUAAAACUACUACAUUGAUACAUUGAUCAUGCUUCUUGAAUAACUUAAUAGUUAGCAUGAUUUAAAGAGGUUUUUGUUUCAUAUACCUCUAAGAUUAUUGUAUUCCUUAUAGUAAAGACAUAAUCAGUUGGGAAUAAGCCUUGUGUUGGUUUACAUAACCCGUGUCAACAUAUUUAACAAGACAAACAUCAUUCCAAGGAUCAUAGGCGGUUGAUUCAUUCCAUGAUGCCUAGGGAUAAAAUGAGUCAUUUUCCAUCAUACAUUUAAAGUAACGGAAAAUUGUCUUUUAUGCCAUUUACGGAGGCGGCAUGUUGGUGCAGAGCUAUAUCUAGCUAACAAAUUCACAUCAGAUGAGAUGUCCGGUCAAGGCCAUUUAACCAGGUACAAUAAUGCGCCUAUUGUACUUAGAUAUGAGUCUUCUGGCCUUAAUAUCUCUUUAUUAUUAUCUGCAUGAUAAUACCGGUGUCUUUAGACCUUGGACGACUAUAGGUGUGCUUAAAUACUUUGUUUUAUCCUCAUCAAAAUAUCUUAAUAACAUCUUCUAGAUUUAAUUUGAUUGAUGGACCAAAAUUCCAUCUGCACUUUGCACGACUUCAGGUCGACAAAAUAAUAUUUGGUCUCCUAAAGUCAUUCAUCUCAAACUCUGAUUUCAGGUGUUUUGCAGUUUCCUUAAUCUCUUCAAGAGUAUCAGUCAAAUUCAUGUCAUUGACAUAAAUUACCACAAAUUACAAACCCGGAAUUUGUUUCCUUAAAACACGCAUGGGCAUAGUCCAUUUAUUCAUAUAUCCCACCCCAAACAAAUAUUCACUUAGACGGUUAUACCAACUCCGUCUGGAUUGUUUGAACCACUAAAGUGAACUACUCUAGCAAAUGGAGAGCAUGUUCUGUGGUCUAGAACUAUUUGCAUUGGGUAACAGAAGUCCUUCAGGAAACUUCAUGUAUAUCUCUAUAUUCAGAUCCCCAUAGAGAUAAGUUGUUACCACAUUCAUAGGCUGCUUAUUCAGUUAUUUGGAAACUACCAAACUGAUAAGGUAGUGGAACGUUAUGACGUCCAUUACGGGAAAGUACGUCUCCUUGUAAUCAAUCGCAGGGCGUUGAGAAAAUCUGUGCGUCACUAAACGAGACUUAUAUCACAAUCUCAUUUUUUCCAGUACGCUUCCUUACAAAUACCCAUAUAAACAAUAUAUGUUUAACAUGGGUAGGUGUGGGAACAACAGGCCCACAACACCUUUCUCUUAGUUAAGGAAUUUGAUUUGACCUGGAUUGUUUCUUUCCUUUUUAGCCAAUCAUCUCUUCGUUGAGAUCUAUCAACGAAGCAAGGUUUGACAUCAUCGCUUAUUAUAAAUUCGGUGGCCACCGCAAAUACAAACAUAUCAUCGAUGAACUCUUAUUCCAAUUCAAUAUCUCACAAAAUUUACAGAGAUUUUCUAUUCUUGGGAGUGGGUUUAAAUGUUGGAGCGUCCCCCAACUUUGUCUCUUCUAGGACGAACCCAUAAUCCGGAUUUAUCUCGUGAGUUGAAUUGGUUUGAGAUUGCGAUGGCAAGAAGAUUCAUUUGUGCCAAGUUUACUUUCUUCUAGGAAUAAGAAUCGUUCGAACUUAAUGGUUUACCUCUCUUCUGGACAGGGACUAUGACUGGUUAGCCGCCAUGGCCGUACCGCAUCCAACUAGGACGAUACGUCCUACGGGGACAUUUAUCCUUGCAGGUUUGCAGCAGGUAUAUAUGAUCUCGUCACUUUAACUAGAUCUUGUGAAGUGUGUAACAUAUUAUGGGCUACACUAUUUAGAUCUAGAUUCUUUGCACUUCAACUAGUAGUAGAAUUCUUUGCACUUCAAUUUCACAUGUGUGGUUUGGGGAUCAAGAUGAGACAUUCUACACGUCGUUCAUCAGGAACGCUCACAUUCUUAUCUCCCCCUAACGGAGGGAAGACUGUCUCAUCAAAGUGACGACCGCAAAAAUCUAGCGGUAUAGAGAUCUCCUGUCAAGGGCUCUAAGGAGCACAUAAUGGAUAGGGUUCAUAAUCGACAUAUAUGCCCAUCCUUUGUUGAGGACCCGAUUUUGUACGUUGUGGCGGCACAAUUGGCACAGAGACUGCAAAAACAUCAGGUUCACACCCAGUCACCAACUGUAACACGAAGUAAGACGGGUAGCAGUGGGCCUCAACUGGACUAACAUGGCUCCAUGCAAGAUUGCAUAGCCCGACGCAAACAAUAGAAGCUUGGUGCGCAUUACCAAGGUUCUAUAUGCAAGACCAUCUUAGGUUUGAACAUAGGAAACUAUAUGUUUUACAAAACCCAAGGGAUAUGCAAUAAUCAUCGAAAACCUUCGAUGUAAACUCUCUGGCAUUAUCAAGUCUUAUAGACUUUAUGGGAUAAUCCGAGUGGUGUACCCUCUAUUUCAUAGGUGAGAGUUUAGCAAAGGCAUCAUUUUCUUGUGGACAAUAGUGUGACAUUUGAUCACUUAAUUUGUCGAUGCAUCAACCAAAACCAUUAAUAUUUAACGGGUUCGUAUGGUGGUUGGAUAGGUCCACAUAUUUUUCCUUGCAUUCUAUGCAUAAAGAGAUAAUGUAUAUUCUAGUCUUUGCAUGUGAUGGUCUAGUAUUCAACAUUCUUAACGAGCAGCUUGAUAUAAUGUGUCAUUAAAGACAAGACCCUUAUUCUGAGGGGGAUGCCCGUGUGAUAAUUGAGUUGAGGAUACGGUGCAUCAUAUGUUUUUCCUGGGUGCAUCAAACACCAAUACUAUAGCUAGUAUUUGCUCGAAUCAUUUAGCUUCUAGCUAAUAAAUUUGAAUAUAGUCAAUGUACGCUUUUGGCCGCACAUUCGAAGGUUAUGCAAAGAUAUUACACCAUUUUUCUGGUGGUUUCAAUGUUUUAAGCAUUGAUUCAAUGAACUUACCUUUCGAUAACGUUCUUCUGAAACGUAAAGGUAUUUUGACCUCGUCAGCCAGACGAGAAUGCUCAAUUCCUUAAUAUUGAUAACACAUAUCAAUUUUGAUCGAUUUAGAUUCUAAGGCAUCAAGCCUUUUCAUUUCAAUAUUCUAUAAUUAUGUUUUGCUUCAAGUAAGGAAUGUCUACCUCAAAUAGUUUCUUCUGGAGACUACCAAUUAACAUGAUAAAAGCUACCGAUUUUAUCAUGUCUGGUGAAUUUUGGAAUGAAACUUCAAGUUUCUUAAGGGGGUUAUUAUCGAAACUACAAGUUCGAUUUAUACAUGAACUACUGGUUCAUUUCUGAACUAACGGUUUAUUCUUGAACUACCGGUUCAUUAGGUACAUGUAUUUUCAAGUUAUAAUCAUGUCACAAUUGAUGAUAUUAAUUUCACGCUACUAAUUUAGCAUAGUGAAUAUGUCACGUAACUAUGUGUAAAUGCUUCUGGCAAUUAACUACACAUUAAAUAUGAUGACUAUAUUAACAAUAGCCAUUAUGAGAAAAUAUUUGGAGAGUCCUAUAGACAUACAUAAUGACUAGGUACGAAAAUCCAGUGUCAUUAGAUUAUUUUCCUUUUGUUUAAUUCUGCUGGACCAAAAGAAUUGACUGAAAUUAAAGUGAAAUAAAUAAACCUAGCCUCUACAUAUUUUACAAGCCUACGGGGCACAAUCUGAGAGGUAUGCUAGACUUUUAGGUCCCGUAGAGGGAGAGUAGGCCUACUGGGCUAAUAAUGGUCUACCAAGAAAUGCAAUGUUAUUAAUCAACCCUUUCGGUAACUCCAAUUGUAUACGACUUGGUAAGCCAUGAUGAGGUGAUGGAGCGAGGCUCACUUAAGUACACAUCCUCAAAAGUAUUUGCCUAGACAUCGCAUCCAACUGGGUGGGCCUAGUUUGAGAAGAGUUAUAAUCAUUGUCAUAGACUCAAGGCGACACAUGACGAGCUUAUGUUCUAGCCUUGGAGCUUAGGUCGAGCUUCUGGCUCAAUUUCAUAUAUAUAUAUAUAUAUAUAUAUAUAUAUAUAUAUNNNNNNNNNNNNNNNNNNNNNNNNNNNNNNNNNNNNNNNNNNNNNNNNNNNNNNNNNNNNNNNNCAAUAUGCAAUCAAAGUUAAUAAGCAUGAAAUCAUAAAAUCGAAACAUAAACAACAUAUGGUUCAUGCUUCAGGAUGGUUUUUCAUGUAAUCAAGGUUUUAAAAGAAACAUGAAUUAUAAUAGAGUUUAGAAAACUUUACUCGAUGCAAAGCGAAUCAAUGAGUGUUCAUCUUAUGUGUCAGAACCGAGAAUAUUGGUGGACUAAACUUCUAAUCAAAUCCGAGAGCUUGUUUGUGAUUGAAAUUUUGAACCAUGUUGAAUGAUUCUUCCAUCGAUUGAUCAACGGUCUCUCUUCCAUGCUGCAUAAAAACUACCUUAGCGUUAGAACUAUUCGUGCUGAUAACGUGUUAUAAAACAAAAGGAAUAGAUUGAGAAAGGAGAGAAACAACCAAGAGAAUGAGAGAAUAUGUGUAUAUUAUUGAGUAGGGAACCAUCUCUUAUAUAGAGAUGAGGUCAUGAUGUAAAUUAUAAUAACAACCCUAGUUGGCUAAUUACAAGAAUGCCCAUUAAAUAAUAACUAUUUACAACAUAGAUAUGAAAGAGUCCGUAAUGACAUGUUGAGUUGGUUUAAAAACUAUUAUAUAUGUACUUUGUUCAACUAAGAAAAUAGUAUGCUCUUAGAUAACAUUCGGUUUAAAAAAAACAACAACAACAACUUAGUGCGUUAGAUAUCAUAUUUUUUAUGGUUAUCAUUUCGUUCUAUUAUAUCAUGGCCCCCCUCGCUAUAAGUUUCUAGCUCCGCCAUUGGGAGAUGGUGGUAGUGGCAGUGGUAGAAGAACAAAAGUUACUGGUGUAAUAACCAGAAAGUUCAAUCAAAAAUUUGUCGUACGUAGUUGCUCAAUGUGGGAUAUGUCUGACAGGUUUGAUUCAUACACACACACACAAGAGAAAAUAACUGAACCCCUAUAUGUUCAGUUGAAGAAAGUGCAUUGCCUAUAGCUGAUUAAUUAGCAAGAAAAAACAAAUCAGAAUUAAGAAAUCAAGAUAUAGGGAAAAGGAAACACUCGAAAGCCAUAUGCGUAAUGAACUAAUGAUCAUUUGAGACACAAUUAUUAAUAUGUAGGUAAGGGAAGAAAACUACGAAAAAGUGUGUUGGCAGGCUCUGAUGAUCUUGCUACAUGCUGCAUCUCCUAUUACCAUCUUAGCACCAGUGAAUGCAAUUAUGCAACAAAAUAGGAGGCACUCCUGCUGCCUUGAUUGAUCACUGUGAUCUGUACAUAAUCCUAUCUCUGUUCCCAAAUUGCUAGCUAGGCGUACUGCGUUGUUCCCAAAUCUGAGAUCAAUCCUGAUUGCAGUCUUCUCCUGUCAUUCUCAGCUCAAACUUUUAAGGAAAGUAACAAACAGAAGAAAGUGAGAUUAUUGCAGAUUAUCUGUUACGAAAUCAACAAGUGAAAGUCUAAGUCUUAGAUCAAACACAUCCUAAAAGUUCAGUUUUAACUAGGCAAAAUUCUUUCGCUGUUUUGACUACUUGGUUUCUUUAACAUACAUUCGGGGGAAUGAUUCCCCUAUUAAUGUAAUGGCCGAGAACGCAAUCACUACAGCUGGACUAAAACACAACCAGACUCUUUCAUGACUGCCAAGUUAUAAGCAUCCUUGAAACAAUCAUUUAUUAAUGCAGUAGAGUUAUUUGUGUAAAAACGAAUGCAAAAGCAGAAAUUUGUAGUCUCCCUCUGAUAAACUCAAUCUUUGUCUUAUUUCAGCUACUUAUGCAACUUAAUCACUUCCUUAUUAACAACUUGCAUGAUAUAAACCCCUGCCUAUUACUCAUAUCUCAGAAAACUUCAUAUUCAUUGCAAAAGAACAAAAAUUGAACUCGACAUAGGAUCAUGAACAUAAGUUACAUAACCGAUAUCACACAGGUUGAUCAUGACUCAAAAGAAACAAAGGAUGGAUAUCAUAUAGUCCAUUACCUCGGACUUGUGCACAUUAUCAUAUAAAUAGUACCCCAAGAAUCUAUGGCACUCUUCCUGAAAACAGCACAGCACAGAAGAUAAACAAAAUGUGUGAUAGGCCUUCAUAAUGGCAUUUGAGAUAGCAAUGGCUGUACAAACCCUUUCACAGACCCUGACAUGUCUUCAUCAUAUCCAUCUAUGAAUUUCCGAAAAACACACCAAAAAAAAACCAUACACAUACCAAUCAACAUGACCCUAAUCUAUUACAAGAUUUGUCAUCAAUUUCCGUUGCUUAAAAUUCCUGAGUGAUGGAUAAAGUGUAAUUGAGAGAGGUACAAAAGAUUCACAAAUGGAGUCGUCAUCUUGAAAGAUGAAGUGAAACACAGCUUCAGCGUCCUUCAUUAUUUUCAUUAGGUUUAAGGCACAUUCACAAAAAAUGUUUACUAAGAAACUUCCGAGCCAUUCAACUGAUGAAUCCAAAUUAGUGAACGUUUACUAAAAUACAACCAGACUCUUUCAUGAGUGCCAAAUUAUAAGCAUCCUUGAAAUAAUCAUUUAGUGCAGUAGUUACUUGUGUAAAACGAAUGCAAAAGCAGUAAAUUUUUAGUCUUCCUCUGAUGAACUCAAUCUUUGUCUUAUUUCAGCUACUUAUGCAACUUAAUCACUUCUGCCAUAAUCAUAAAUAGAUACCAUUGUAUAAGUUCCAGUUUCUGUUGUCGACAACCAAAGCCAGUGCUGUUCGUACCUGUCCACCAGUUAAAGUUGUGCCGACCAAAGGAGCUGACCAGCAAUUGGGGCUUCUCUUUGGAAAUUGAAGUGGCAGAUGUAGAAUUUGCUUGUGUAGGAUUUGCCAAACGUAACAAACGAUCAUCAGUACAUACUAAUACAAAAGAAAUUCCUUAUUCUUCACCUUUGUCUUAGACUACUGUGUUUUCAAAACAAACAGGCAUCCCCUUUCGUUAACCACCGAUUCACUGAAGGUCGACUAAACGUACAUCAAACUUAUCAAAAACUGAAAUGGAUGCUUGAAAAUUGAGAGGAACAAUUUUAGACAAUGAACAUAAAGCAAGUGAUUUUAAUGACAAUCAGAACCAAUAUUUCUAAUGUAAUUAAUACAGCAAAGUUCAUUUCAAAACAAACUUUUUCCUUUGUUUAAUUUGCUUAAAUCCUUUCCAGACUUAUAUCCAAGGAAAUAUAAACAUGAAAAAAAAACCAGAUGUUGUUAUUGUUGUAGUGACAGUAGAAUAAAUCUUAAACCAUGUAUUUUCAAUGGCAAGGUACUCAUCAACAUAGCAGUGCUGGUAUGAAUAAAACAUGCAAUGUGCUUUUCAACCUGAAAAGCAAUUGAAUCCCAUUCUCUCCCGCCCACAACUUCCUAUAUCACAAUUCCAGACAUAAUCCUCCCACGGCUAAAAGGGAUCACACUACCAUCUAGCAAACACACUGCAACGAUCACACUACACAUUCUCCCGCAUAAUCUCAACCCCAAAAUCUUCAAAUCCCAAAGUCGCAAACCCGCUCCUCACAGUCAUGCCCACCACCUGUUCGACGUAUUGACCAUGCAUUUCCACCUCCUCAAAACCCUCACCCGCCGCUAUUCCCGCGACCCAUUUCCCAACAAGCUCUCCCACUACCUCCACCGCGCCACCCUCAUCGACUCCAUCCGUCUCAAGCUCCGCACCAACACCCCAAACUCCCUCACUCCUUUAGCAAACGACACCCGCCUCCUCGACUCCUUCGUAGUCACGCAAGCCCUCCGCUCCGCUCCAUCAGCCGACUCUGCCCUCUUGCUCAAUGAAGCCCUCAAGCGAAUCCUGGUUUCGUGCACACCCAGAACACGGUUCAUGCUUUGGCCACGGUUCUGGCCAAGUCUGGCCGUGCCGGGGAGCUUAACUAUCUUAUUAAAGCUGUCAAUGCCGAGAGGUUUGGCAACGUUAGACUGAGUUUCAUGAACAUUAUGAGCUGGCAAGCUGCUGUUGGGGACCUGGAGGCGGUUCUUCGGACGUGGGAGGAGUAUAGAAGUGCGGAGAAGCGUGUGUGUGCUGAAUCUUACAAUGUUGUCAUGAGGGUUUAUGCGGAGCUGGGGAAGGAUUGUAAGGCGGUGCGGGUUUUUUAUAGGAUGGUUGAGGAAGGGGCGCUUCCGAAUUGCAGGACUUAUACGGUUAUGAUUGAGCAUAUGGUGAAGUGUGGGAAGUUGGAGGCUGCGAUGGAGGUGUUCAAGGUGUUGCCUUUUAUGAGGGUGAAACGGAGUUUGAGGCAGUAUCAGGUUUUGGUGGAGGCGUGCGUUGGAGCGAAGCAGUUUGAGGGGGUUAAGGCUUUACUUGAGGAAAUGCGGGUUGAUGGGAUAUUGCUUGGCCGAGCUAUGCUUUUGUCGUUGGAACGAAUGCGAGAGGCGGGGUUUGUUGAGGAGAGUGAUGAGUUUUUGAGGGAAAUGUUGCCUAAUGAGGCAAUUAGUAGUAUAGGGUAUUGUGAUGAUUGUAGUGAUGAUGAUGAUGAUGAGGAGGAUGUUGAUGAUGAUCGUGCUGGGAAGGGUAAAGAGGGUAGUGGGGUUCAGUUAAAACCUUGGUUAGACCCGAGAUCACUGACAAAUGCAUUACAAAGUUGGAGCCCCAAUGAGGUAUCAGCAUUAGAGGAGGCAAAUUUUCUGUGGACUACGCGGUUAGUAUGCAAGAUUCUUAGGAAUUUUAAAUCAGCUGAAAGAGCUUGGAAGGUUUUCUGUUGGGUUGCUUGUCAGCCAGGUUUUACCCAUGAUAUAUACACAGUUCAAAGGAUGAUGACUCUUUUAGCGCGCCAUAGACAUGCUGCAUUGGUUGAUAAACUUUUGUCCAAAGUAAGGAUGGAGCAAAUGAGAUUGCCGUUUUCAACAAUCAGGCUGAUCAUUGACUUCUAUGGUCUCUCGAAGAAUGCUGACGCUGCUCUGAAGGUCUUUCACAAUGAUAGAAACCUGUGUGGCCCUAUAUCAGGUUUCAAUCUGAUGCUUUUGUAUUCAUCUCUUUUACGAACAUUGACCAAAUGCAGGAGGGAUUCAGAUGUAAUGGAUGUACUUGAAGAGAUGAUCUUGAGUGGGAUUUGUCCCAAUAUCCAGACAUUUUCUGGGUUGAUGCAUCAUUUUGCACUGAAUGAUGACAUCAAAAUUGUGCAGAAACUAUUUGCAAUGGUUAGGCAGAGUGGUGACCAGCCAGAUGCUUAUAUGUUUAAAGUGCUAAUUCAAGCAUAUUGCAAGUGUGAGAGAGCUGCACUUGCGUAUAGAGCUUUUGAAGACUUGAGGAAUUUGAAUUUGCUGCCGGACGCUGCCACAAAAGAGUUGCUUGUGAAGAGUCUUUGGAAGGAAGGCAAGUGGAGAGAGGCUGCCGCUGUAAAAGAGAGUUGCAAAGAAACAAAUGAUGUUCUUCCACUCACUUUGCGUGGUCACAUAUGGACGGUGAGCUCUACUGAUCUCUCAAAGGUUUUUUCUAUUUACUCCAGUAGCUCAGCUGGUGAAUAGAAUUUUAGAUUAAUAUUAAAAUGGAGCAAUGUCUAGAAGUUAGAGCAGUAGUUUUGGAAGAUGUUUGAUCUUGGAUUUUCUGUAAUGUACUGGCAUUUCCCCCUUCAUGGUGGACUAAACUGAAACCAAGUCUAAUUUCUUUUUCUGGAUUAAUCGAGUUUCAUGUGUUUCCAUAACUUUUGAUAGAGAGGGCUCGCCUGGUUAUAUGUUACUAUUCCCUAUCAUAUAGUCACUCUGGUAGUUUAUUUUCUUUUUAAUUGCCUGAAUAUUUGCUUGUAUUUAAUGCUUCUAUGGAAUUAUAGCUACUGCAGUUAUCUAUUAUGGUUGGCCUCUACUAUAGUUCUGUGGAUAUUAUUAUUCAAGGAGUGUCCUGAUUUCGCUUUUGUUUGUAAUAUCCAUUUGUAUGUUUUGUUUGGUUACACAAAAGUAUCAGUUUUGUCAGAUUGGCCUUUUCCAAAAGGCACCUAUUGCCUAUGGGCGUUUUCCUGGCCUAAAACCUUUCUGAGGUCCUAUUUGUCUCAUGUCAUGAUCUGAUUCAAUGCUUAAAAGGAAAUUAAUUCGAGUCACCGUGUCUUAAAGCUAGAUUGCCUACAUUUUUUGCAUGUCUGUGGUACAUAGGUUGAGUUUGUUCAUUAUACUUCAUAGCCUGAGCUUGUGUUAUUUAGGGGGGUAAAAGGCCUUUAUAAGUUUAUAUAUCUUUUGUCUCGUAUCAUAUCUGAUGCCAUGGUAAAAUGGAAAUGGAUUCGAGUCCUCGUGUUUAGUUUUUGAUAAGAAUGAAUUCCCUGAUCAUUUGCUUCUGUCUGUUACAUUGGUGCUUGAACUAACCAGGCUGUAUACCAGUAGUUGUCUCCACCUAUUAAUUAGCUUAAACUAUUAGGUUGAGAUACUCAAUAUCCUCUUAAAGGCACCAAGUAUAGGUUACCUAAGCUGAGACAACAAAAAGGGGAUCACUUAUCCACUUAUAUACCCAUUAAAACAGUAGAAGCAUCUCAGAAAUUAUACGCAUGUAACUUGCAUAUUCCACUGAGGUAAAAAUGUGUUUCCUUUUGAGUUGCCUGGUUAUGUGUUUUCUUCGAAAAUGGUAACACCGCCCCUGUUUAUCUCAUGUAAAUCCCUCUUGCAGCCGUUUAGCAUCUGAUAAGCCUAAAAUAGACUUAUAAAUAACCCUGCAAUCACAAUCAAGUUAUCGAUGGUAGUAUAGAAAAGUAGGGUGUCUCCCGCAGAGGAUUGUGACUCAACAAUUGCAAAUAUAACUCUGAAAAACUGAACAGACACUAGACAAAGACGAAAACAAAAACUAUAGCUAGACCCAACAAAAAAUUACGAAAUUAAAUCUGGAGAAACUAGACACACUGACGAAGACACACACAAAAUUUGGGGGGAAACUGUGUAGUUUUGCUAUGCUAACAAAAUUCAGAAAUAUGACAGACAAACUGAUCAAAAACAAAAAACUAAAUUUGGGGAUUUUGGUUUUGGAAAUCAAAUAACAAAAACUAGUUAGGAACCACUCCUCACCACUAGACAAUGAUUGCACCUAUGAUGUGUUUACUAACAUGUUCAAUUCAUUCGGAUAUCCUUACUCAAGCUAAGCCAAUGAUGNNNNNNNNNNNNNNNNNNNNCUUGGAAGCAGCCCCUAACUAAGGGAAAAUUAGUUACUCAUCAUCUUUGAAAACACAUAAGAGAAUUUCAUAAGAUUCGGGAAGAAAAGAAAAUACGAAAGAUGAAAAGCAGGGGAAAAGAUUGAUUUUCUGAGUCGAGAGAUCAAUCUCUUAUGGGCUCUGAACUUUACUUCUUCUCUUUGAGUUCUUGACGGCUCCCUCUUCUCUUCUGUGUUUCUUCUCCUCUAGUAUGACAGCUUAGCCUCGUUCUGGUAUUAGGGUUCUGCCUUAAGUAGUCUCCAAGUCUUCAAAGCUUCUUUUUUAGACUAUGUUUCCUUCUUUGACUAGGAUCAAUGUUUGGGCUAUCUUUUAAAUGUCUUCCACAUAUAAUCUGGGCUUGGCUUUUGGGAAAAUUAUAUUAAUGAUAUCACUCUUUGAAAUCGUGUAAAAACCCCCAAGAAAGCUUCUCAAAAUCCAGCCCAAACACUGCCUCGAACUUGACUGCUGCACAGCUUUCCCGGAACUGCUGAUUUUCUGUCCAACUUCGACGCUUCAUAACUCCUAGAUGCCAUCACCUAUUUGGAUGAUUCUUGACUCUAAAUUGAUCUACAAACGCACCUCUACAAAUCUGGGUGGCCAUCUUGGUGAAACCAUUCUCGGAACCUCAUGGAAAUAGGCCUUGAAAACCGGAGAAAAUAAGCAGAAACCAGUUUUCAGCUUUUUGUGUUUGUAGCUUCUGUUUUGGUGAAGUGGUUCCAUCGCCUUUCCUUGAUAUUUUUGACCAUGUGAAUGAUCAAACUCCAUCCUUGACAUCUCUACUUCGUAUUGGAAGCCUUGCUUGCAUCACUUGAACACAUAUUUGCAUUAUCUUGCUCCAUGAAGUACCUAAGAAAAUAACAAAGUUAAAACGAUCUUUUUAAAGAAAAAUAGCUAAGUUAAAUGCAAAGGUUAAACUAUAAAAUCAUCGCAUUUUAUGCUCUUAUCAGCAUCUAAUGUGUGGUUAUUUUG